Molecule: long non-coding RNA, 514 nt
Organism: Helicoverpa armigera (cotton bollworm)
Lineage: Eukaryota; Metazoa; Arthropoda; Insecta; Lepidoptera; Noctuidae
Exons: 4
Source: RefSeq, a predicted model, not a curated record
CUCGUGUAUUGCACGUCACAUGUCGAUAUAUGGCCGUGUCUAUUUUAAAAUGUUGUCUGUUGAAAACAACAGCGAGUGAAAAAGUGUUAUGAAAAACAAAUGUUGGCCUGAGAACUUGCAGGCCGAUGACGCUAAGAUUACUGUGAACAGACAUAACCUCAAACAAGAAACUCUAUUCAGAGAAAUACUUAAAACCUGUAUUUGGCUUCGACAAUUCCGAACAAAAUGGAAAAUGUAUAUUUUGCAACAGUGGCUGGGAAUACUGGACGUUGCAAAACAUUUGAUUGCAUUAAAACAUGAACUUGUAAGUACACUUAUGCAUGGGCGGUAAGGGUCGGCGCACACCGUACAAAGUUGCGAGUAAUUUAUGGCGGGCCGGUUUAUGGGCCCUGAGCUAAGUUCGCACAUGCACCGACGCAACUUGUAUAGAAGUCAUAAAUAUCCGCUAACCCCUUCCAUGAGGUCAGAUGCUGUUGGCAAUCUUCAUUGAAAUACAAGUUUUGUCUUGGUUAUA